AUGUUCCUUGUGUCUAUUGUUAUCUUUCAAACAGGGGUGAAAGGAGGAAACCAGGUGGAGCAGAGUCCUCCUUCCUUGAGACUCUGGGAGGGAGAUGGCACCUCCAUGAGCUGCACUUAUUCAGUCAGUGGUUUUACUGGUCUGCAUUGGUACAGACAGGACUCAGGGACAGGUCUCAGACGCCUCUUCUCCAUGUAUUCAGCUGGGGAUGUGCAGCAGAAGGGAAGACUCCGAGCCACGUUGCUGAAGGGUGGAAGCAGCUUGAACAUCACAGCUGUGCAGCAUGGAGACUCAGCCACCUACCUCUGUGCUGUAGUCACACAGUGCAACCCAGGCACCUGUGACCUGCACCCAAAUCUACAGCUGAGCAGGCACAGUUUGAAAGAACCCUCUGCAGCAGGGCUCGGAGCCUGGGUCCUUGUGUGGAGUUAA
Ictidomys tridecemlineatus (thirteen-lined ground squirrel) is the source of this 432-nucleotide non-coding RNA. The record is from the annotation of a RefSeq genome assembly. Lineage: Eukaryota; Metazoa; Chordata; Mammalia; Rodentia; Sciuridae.